GACGAACGCUGGCGGCGUGCUUAACACAUGCAAGUCGAACGGAAAGGCCCUGCUUUUGUGGGGUGCUCGAGUGGCGAACGGGUGAGUAACACGUGAGUAACCUGCCCUUGACUUUGGGAUAACUUCAGGAAACUGGGGCUAAUACCGGAAAGGAGCCCCUCCGGCAUGGGGGGGGUUGGAAAGUUUCGGCGGUUGGGGAUGGACUCGCGGCUUAUCAGCUUGUUGGUGGGGUAGUGGCUUACCAAGGCUUUGACGGGUAGCCGGCCUGAGAGGGUGACCGGCCACAUUGGGACUGAGAUACGGCCCAGACUCCUACGGGAGGCAGCAGUGGGGAAUAUUGCACAAUGGGCGGAAGCCUGAUGCAGCAACGCCGCGUGCGGGAUGACGGCCUUCGGGUUGUAAACCGCUUUCGCCUGUGACGAAGCGUGAGUGACGGUAAUGGGUAAAGAAGCACCGGCUAACUACGUG
This 468-nucleotide ribosomal RNA is filed under the name uncultured bacterium. RNAcentral describes it as "partial 16S ribosomal RNA". It matches the Rfam family "Bacterial small subunit ribosomal RNA", at positions 28 to 507 of the family's 1533-position model. The record is from RNAcentral.